This 253-nucleotide ribosomal RNA is filed under the name uncultured bacterium. RNAcentral describes it as "partial 16S ribosomal RNA". It matches the Rfam family "Bacterial small subunit ribosomal RNA", at positions 524 to 776 of the family's 1533-position model. The record is from RNAcentral.
GACAGAGGGGGCAAGCGUUGCUCGGAAUUACUGGGCGUAAAGGGCGCGUAGGCGGGAUGGCAAGUCCGCUGUAAAAGUCCAGGGCUCAACCCUGGAAAGCCGGUGGAUACUGCCGGGCUAGAGUCCGGAAGAGGCGAGUAGAAUUCCUGGUGUAGCGGUGGAAUGCGCAGAUAUCAGGAGGAAUACCCAUAGCGAAGGCAGCUCGCUGGGACGGUACUGACGCUAAGGCGCGAAAGCGUGGGGAGCGAACAGG